RNAcentral lists this ribosomal RNA (442 nucleotides) under uncultured bacterium. RNAcentral's name for it is "partial 16S ribosomal RNA". It matches the Rfam family "Bacterial small subunit ribosomal RNA", at positions 338 to 795 of the family's 1533-position model. The record is from RNAcentral.
ACUACGGGUGGCAGCAGUGGGGAAUAUUGGGCAAUGGGCGCAAGCCUGACCCAGCAACGCCGCGUGAAGGAAGAAGGCUUUCGGGUUGUAAACUUCUUUUGUCAGGGAAGAGUAGAAGACGGUACCUGACGAAUAAGCUACGGCUAACUACGUGCCAGCAGCCGCGGUUAUACGUAGGUGGCAAGCGUUGUCCGGAUUUACUGGGUGUAAAGGGCGUGUAGCCGGGUUGACAAGUCAUAUGUGAAAUCCUGCGGCUUAACCGCAGAACUGCAUGUGAAACUGUUGAUCUUGAGUACUGGAGAGGCAGAUGGAAGUCCUGGUGUAGCGGUGAAAUGCGUAGAUAUUAGGAGGAACACCAGUGGCGAAGGCGGGCGGCGGGACAGCAACUGACGGUGAGGCGCGAAAGCGUGGGGAGCAAACAGGAUUAGAUACCCGGGUAGUC